GGAGAGAUGUCCGAGCGGUUGAAGGAGCACGACUGGAAAUCGUGUAGGCGGUCACAAGCUGUCUCGGGGGUUCAAAUCCCCCUCUCUCCGCCA
This 93-nucleotide transfer RNA is filed under the name Nitrospira sp. RNAcentral's name for it is "tRNA-Ser". It matches the Rfam family "tRNA". Rfam says of the family: Transfer RNA (tRNA) molecules are approximately 80 nucleotides in length. Their secondary structure includes four short double-helical elements and three loops (D, anti-codon, and T loops). Further hydrogen bonds mediate the characteristic L-shaped molecular structure. tRNAs have two regions of fundamental functional importance: the anti-codon, which is responsible for specific mRNA codon recognition, and the 3' end, to which the tRNAs corresponding amino acid is attached (by aminoacyl-tRNA synthetases). tRNAs cope with the degeneracy of the genetic code in two manners: having more than one tRNA (with a specific anti-codon) for a particular amino acid; and 'wobble' base-pairing, i.e. permitting non-standard base-pairing at the 3rd anti-codon position. RNAcentral also lists the same sequence under 1 other name. The record is from RNAcentral. Lineage: Bacteria; Pseudomonadati; Nitrospirota; Nitrospiria; Nitrospirales; Nitrospiraceae.